GACGAACCGUGCGAACGUUAUUCGGAAUCACUGGGCUUAAAGGGCGCGUAGGCGGGUUGCCAAGUCUGUGGUGAAAUCCUCCAGCUUAACCGGAAAAGUGCCUUGGAUACUGCUCGUCUGGAGGAAGGUAGGGGCAGGUGGAACUUCUGGUGGAGCGGUGAAAUGCGUUGAUAUCAGGAAGAACACCUAUGGCGAAGGCAGCACUCUGGGACGGUACUGACGCUGAGACGCGAAAGCGUGGGGAGCGAACAGG
Molecule: ribosomal RNA, 253 nt
Filed under: uncultured bacterium
Lineage: Bacteria
Description: partial 16S ribosomal RNA
Rfam family: Bacterial small subunit ribosomal RNA
Source: RNAcentral